UUUUGUGUUCUUUUCCAGCUAUCCAAAGGUAUUGUUGUUGUUGUUAAGUCCAGUUGUUCCCUAAGAACCUGAAAAGUGACAUAUUACCUACUGUUUCAGUUUCUUCUCUGUUGUGGUGAUAAAAUACCAUGACUCAUACAAAAGGGAGGAUGAAUUUACUCUGUUCACAGUUCCAGAAAGUCACAGCGUACGAGCUUCAGAGAACUGAUCACUUUCCAUCUGCUGACUGGAGGAGAGAACUGUGGAUUAAUGAAUUUAUGUUGUUUCUCAGUCCCUCUCUACUUAGACAAUUCAGGGUCCUAGUCAGGGAAUUGUACUACUCAGAGUGCCAGGUAAUGCAAUCAAGAUAAUUAAUUUCUCCCACACAUUUUCAGAGCCCUUCUGCUGGAUGAAUCUAAGUGCGCCAAGUUGACAACUAAAAUGAAUCACCACAUCUACUUUUAAUAUUUAGAUGCAACUACUUUGUUCAUUUGGUGGGAGAAUGUGUCUUUUAAGAGUUUCACUAGAUUGUAUAUUUAAACAUUUGUUCUGUUUUCUCUCUAACAUAGACUCCAGUUACACAUGUGACGUUUUCUUUUACUAUUGUAAUUAACACUUUUCUUAAAUCUGUUAUUUCAGUGUACACGUGUCCUUUAUUAAUCUCCUCACUGUUUAUUUCUAUUUCACCACAGUGUUUAUGCCCUCUCAAGCAUCUACUUCCUUCCCCAAUUUUAAGGCUUUUAUUUUCCUACGCUCUUGUUAACUCAUGCUGGUUUAUACUUUAUCACUGUCUACUCAUCUCUUCACUGAAUUCUCAAUCUUCUGUUUUGUGACCUUCAUUCAUAGAGGCUACUGCUCCAUUAACUUAAAAUAGUUAUGGCAAGUACUUGCUUAAAACAUAAUUGGUUCCAUGGUAACAUUUCGGGUUCCGGGCAAGUUAUUCUGUUGAUAAGUUCUAUUUCUCACUCAUUCGUUUAUUCUUAAGGCUUCUUUAUAUUGUACUAAUGUGAAUCUCUUUCUAUUUUCUCAUUACAAAAACUGAGUGCUUGUGGAAUAGAUAGAAUGGAUUUCCUAUAAGUAUACAGUGCUGGCAACCCAGACCUUUCCUUAGGCUUAGCUACCACAGCUAGAUACUGCUUUAUGUAAAUAAGAGUUUCUAUAGAAUCUGUUUCAUAAAUCCUUCUCCUUUCUUCCUAAGUUAAUUGUUCUCUUGAGUAAUGGGUGAAGGGUGGUGGCUUUUGCCUUCAACCUGCUUACUCUUGUUUCUGCAUUUCCUCUUUAGAUAUACCCUUUGACCUAGGGGUGUAACACCCCCACCCUUUUUCGGAGUAUAUUUUGGCUCUGCUACCAUCACAAUCUCACUCUCUAUUAUUCUCUCUCAUUUCCAUGAGACAUUUGUAGGGAAUUUACUAUUUGUGGCAGCCAUUCAAAAUUUGAUAGUCUUUAGAGUUGAUAAAAAUGGACACUUUUAUUUGGUUUUUAAUUUUGCUUGUUUCCUUUCAAAGAAGAACCCAAAAGUAAGGAAGGAGACUCCUAAACACACAGGGUAUAUUCAUUAUGUGAACUCUAGAGUGGCACUGACCAGCAAUUUAUAAUAAAGUGGCUCAAUUCUUAUAUACUAAAUAUAGAUUCACUGGGUGUGGCUAACAUUUGGUCUCAUUUGUUUUUCACGUUCUGCUUCCCAUCCUUCAUACCGUGAUGUCAUAUGCAAUGAACUUCAUUACUGUACUUUUUGAUUCCUUCAAGCACAAUAUGUAGCAUGGUUAGGCACAUGUCCCAGCCAGCACCAAUUGGAACUCCUUGGGGAUAAUUAUAUAGAAAAACAAGACUGGUGCCUGCCACUGCUGGUAAACUCUGAGAAGUUAAGCUCUUCCAGGGUCUCAUCAAAGUAGAAUGUUCUCCUGAGCUGUCCUUCUAAUGAAUUUGAGAUGCAAGGCUGAGCUUUCUGUCUGGAUUUAUGCUCUGCUCUGCUUUUGCUCAUGUGUACCCAAAGAGUCAGAAGAUAAGCACCGGCUUGUGACAGCACCCCAGGAACUCAAUGACCACGUGAAUGCCUGGGGAUUCCUCCACCCUGUGAAAUUUACAGGUUCAACCCCCUCAUCAAACGCUCCCAGAUUUGCCUUUAUAGUCAUUGAGCCCGCCCUCCUACUGUCCCUACAAAUAAAUUCAAUCCACGAGAAAA
Molecule: long non-coding RNA, 2161 nt
Organism: Peromyscus eremicus (cactus mouse)
Lineage: Eukaryota; Metazoa; Chordata; Mammalia; Rodentia; Cricetidae
Exons: 3
Source: RefSeq, a predicted model, not a curated record